CUUUAUUGGAGAGUUUGAUCCUGGCUCAGGACGAACGCUGGCGGCGUGCCUAAUACAUGCAAGU
RNAcentral lists this ribosomal RNA (64 nucleotides) under Brevibacillus centrosporus. RNAcentral describes it as "16S rRNA. Bacterial SSU". It matches the Rfam family "Bacterial small subunit ribosomal RNA", at positions 1 to 62 of the family's 1533-position model. RNAcentral also lists the same sequence under 1 other name. Lineage: Bacteria; Bacillati; Bacillota; Bacilli; Caryophanales; Paenibacillaceae. The record is from RNAcentral.